UGUGGCAGAUAAAUGCAUUGAAUUUAAGCUUCAAUAAUAAAGUUCCAACUUUCUUUAGAAAUCG
This 64-nucleotide transfer RNA is filed under the name Pseudostenophylax fumosus. RNAcentral describes it as "tRNA-Leu". Lineage: Eukaryota; Metazoa; Arthropoda; Insecta; Trichoptera; Limnephilidae. The record is from RNAcentral.